RNAcentral lists this transfer RNA (75 nucleotides) under Candidatus Pelagibacter sp. TMED142. RNAcentral's name for it is "tRNA-Arg". It matches the Rfam family "tRNA". From Rfam's summary of the family: Transfer RNA (tRNA) molecules are approximately 80 nucleotides in length. RNAcentral also lists the same sequence under 1 other name. The record is from RNAcentral. Lineage: Bacteria; Pseudomonadati; Pseudomonadota; Alphaproteobacteria; Candidatus Pelagibacterales; Candidatus Pelagibacteraceae.
GGGCCUAUAGUGUAAUGGAUAGCACAAGUGUCUUCGGAACAUUUAGUUUGGGUUCGAAUCCUGAUAGGCCCGCCA